This 430-nucleotide ribosomal RNA is filed under the name uncultured rumen bacterium. RNAcentral describes it as "bacterial SSU rRNA". It matches the Rfam family "Bacterial small subunit ribosomal RNA", at positions 354 to 776 of the family's 1533-position model. The record is from RNAcentral.
GUGGGGAAUAUUGCACAAUGGGGGGAACCCUGAUGCAGCCAUGCCGCGUGUGUGAAGAAGGCCUUUGGGUUGUAAAGCACUUUCAGUAUGGAGGAAGUGAGCUGAGUUAAUAGCUUAGUUCAUUGACGUUACAUACAGAAGAAGCACCGGCUAACUCCGUGCCAGCAGCCGCGGUAAUACGGAGGGUGCGAGCGUUAAUCGGAAUAACUGGGCGUAAAGAGCUCGUAGGCGGUUUGUCAAGUCAGAUGUGAAAGCCCCGGGCUUAACCUGGGAACCGCAUUUGAAACUGACAGACUAGAGUACUGUAGAGGGAGGUAGAAUUCCAGGUGUAGCGGUGAAAUGCGUAGAUAUCUGGAGGAAUACCGGUGGCGAAGGCGGCCUCCUGGACAGAGACUGACGCUGAGGAGCGAAAGCGUGGGGAGCAAACAGG